UCAUAUUUAGUGAAUGCAAAGCCGCUAUUGCUGAUCAAUGAUUUCCAAAUGUAACAAAUGCAACCACCUGCAGCAUGCAAAUUAAGUAAUUAAAUAAACAAAUAAAAAUGAGAUUCUAAGGAUGCAAUUGAUGUGGCAUUAAAAUAACAAAAAUUUAAUAGUUGAAAAUUAAAUAAAAAAUUCUCAAAAUUAAUGGGCAUAUAUGGAUUGAACAUUAGACAAUGUGGAUAAAAGGAUUUAAAUGAUUCCAAAUACUAUGUAGUAACAUCCUCUCCUUCUUAAUCAAAUAUAUAAGUUUCAUUCAACCUAACAAAUUAAUGAAAUUUUUUCAAGGGGGUGAAAACACAAUGAGAUGCAAAAUGAAUUUUAUUACUUGACAUACAACUAUUUGUUGAAUUGCCAACAACAUAAACAUGAAAUCCAUGAAGUUUAAUGGCAAGUCUGAGAAGAAUUUGUGCAAUACGAAGCAAGCGAGAUUUAGUAAUCAUUAAUUUGUAACUUUCAGUUUGAAAGAACAUAGCAAAUGGAAGGAGUGGUGCAUUUGGGAUAUCCUGGUCAGUACAUGAGCUCGAUGAAAAUAAAUAAGAAUACAAUAAUAAAAAGUAUAACUUAGUGAAAAUCCCAACUUGAGGAACAUAUACCAAGUAAUAGACGUUUUUGUAUAUGUUUCUCCGCCUUUGUUUCUAGCUUAUUUUGCAUUUCUAUCUCUGCAGUCUGAAAGUUUAUAUUAAAAAACAAAGUUAAGCCUUUAUACGGUAUAUAAAAUGAGAAGAUGAACAUAUAGUGUAAUAGAUUUGCUGAGUUACUAUAACAAAGACUACAAAAAAUAAUGCAAACAAUGAAAACAUCAAGCAUCUAUACGUGAACAUUUUCUCCAGUAUCAGUUGGAUCGUGUCAGUGUUUGCAACAGAGUGAGCCCAUAUUUUCAAUUACUAAAGACAACAUAUGAAUGUAUAAUGCUCAAGCUACCCCUGGCAUUAUGAGGUCUUAACUAUACAUUAGUUCCCUUCUAGCUCCUACCUUCAAGCUUGCUUAAUUUCGAGCCAUGAACCAUUAGAAGGAAACAUAAUUUGAUCGAUUAAUUGAGUUACACCUACAGUCCUACCUUGAAAUAAGAACUUAAGCCAACUGCAAUCUAAGCCAAUUGAUUUAAAGAUAUAUUUAGUUAAUCUAUAGAACUUCUAUGCCCCAUAACACUUCAUAUUGCAUUCUAAUCAGAACAAAAUUGGCAGCGAUGCAAAGUUAGGAUUUAUAUUGACAUAACUGAAAUAAAUAAAGUAUAACAAAAAAAAUUCAGCAAAGGAUAUAGACUUGCAGAUUCACAAUUAUGUGGCAUUUAGAACAAACUCUACGUGGCAAUAUUUCAAACACUGACAGUGUACCAAGUCAGCCAAAGUACGUAAUAGUUAUAGCACUCAAUAUUUAUAAAAUGUUUCAUCAAAUUCAAGGAAAAGAAACUAUAAUCGCCAAGACUUGCGUCACAUGAUUCUGCUAUUUGUUCUCUAUAUACCAACUACACAAAUUGAGGUCCUGGAAAUUUUUUUAAACCCAAAUGUAAUGUUUUCAAAUUAUUUUAGCCAUGUAGUAGAUUGCUUUCCUAAGUGGUAGAAUGUUGGAAGGCAAGGAAUAGAUGUCAAAGAUGUAGCAAAUAUAUAUAUCAUUCAAGAUCAUAUAAUUGUUUCAUAUAUAGUAGUAUGUUUGAUAACCUAUAUUUACUUAUCAAAUGAAAAUUGAGUUGUGAUCAAAGUGUUCAUUGAUAUUUAACUGGCAACAUAAAUAAUAAUUUUUAUAAAUACAAAAAAGAAAUAAGAAAAGAGAGCCAGAGUCUCUGAUGCAAAAUACAUAAUACAAAUAUUUUAACAAUAACAUACCACAACACCUUAGAAUCCAACUAUUACAAUAGGAAAAAUCACAUCAAGGAUAUAACAAUUUUGAAAGAAAACUCUUAAAUCACAACUAUAAACACAUUCAGAACAUAUUAUGAUAUACAGAAAAGCAUUUUUUUUGGGGGGCUUGGGAGGGGGGAUCAUAAGCUACUAUAACAAUUAAAAAGCUAUAAAUUAGCAUUUUAAAACUUAACAACUGUAAUUACCAAAUUUUCCACGGCUCAAAGCUUACUCCUACUUUUACAUAGAGAUAACCCUUCAAAUAAAAAUCGGAAAGGACAGUGGAAAAGAAAAUGAAAUGUUAAAGCUAUAAGAGUUUUUAUCUACAGUCCAUUACACUAAAUUUGAGCAUUAUUUCUUAUACUUUUUAUAUGAUAGUAGUACAUAAUAAAAUUCUACUUGAGUUUAUUAAGAAAGACUUUUCCUUUCUUUCUUUUCAGUUUCUUUUCCUCACUUGAUCUUUAUAGCAUCCUUGAGUUUAUUAAGAAUACUUUUUCCUUUCUUUUUUUCAGUUUCUUUUCCUCAAUAUCUUUCCAGCAUCCAAACAAAAACUAAAAAUAUUAUAAAGAAAGCAUAAAACUACCUGACCAAAACAACCUAAUUCUAAGCUAAAAUUAAAUAAAAUUUCGUCAAAUAACUUUUUUAAUCGAUUCAAACACCCAUAAAAGAAAUAGUUUGUUUCCCAUUAGAGAGGCUUCGGUGAGGUAUAAAACUAUCUGACCAAAACCAACUAAUUCUAAGCUAAAAUUAAAUAAAUUUCGUCAAAUGGCUUUUUUAAUCGAUUCAAACACCCAUCAAAGAAAUAGUUUGUUACCCAUUAGAGAGGCUUCAAUGAGGUUUUUGGUCGAAAGAACCUGGUUCGUUAGAUUGACAUUAUUCACCAUCUUCAAUCAACUGCUUCUGGAUCUUCAUCUCAUACUAUUGCAUCAGAUUUCAGAACACACAUCAUAUCAUCUAAAAUAAACUACAACAACUAUAUGCACAAUCUAACUUCAAAUUAACACAAUAGGAGUUACCACUCCAAAUAAACCAACUGCUGAUAGAACACAUUUAUUAACCAACAUUGAUGAGUUUUUUUUCAAACCAACUAAAAAAUCUACAAAAACCAAUCCAAGUAAAAAAGGAAAAAUACCCAGGUAAAAAAUCCAAUACUUAAUCAUCCAUAAAAAAAAAAAAAAAUUAAAAAAGGAGGAAAAUAAUUUUCACAUAUAAGCUGAAUUAAACAUCAAUAAAGUUAAUCAAGAAGCUAAACAAUUUUAAAUGAGUUAACCUUUGGAACUCAAAGAUUGUGAUGGUCCUUUUUUGUGAUCGUCAAAUUGAAUUGCUCCUCACUACCCUUCUGAUACUAAGUUCAACAAAAGUUAUGCAUGUAAGCAUGAAAGGGCAGCAAGGGCCAUGAAGUAUAAGAGACCCAUGUGUACAGAUCGGUUCGCAAAAUUUGAGAAAUUAAGAUUUGGAAUUACCUUAAGCGCAACAGGAAGGAAGUUAUUCAAAGCAGCGACUAUCAGUUGCAGUAGCCAUAGGGUAAUUUCAGUGGCAAUGAAAAUUUCGGCGAUGAUGGGUAUUUACAGAAACGUGCAGAGAGUGGAUCGAUGGAGAGAUAGACCAAAGACCUCAAGUAACAUGCAUUACCUCAUAUGUCAGUCUCUCAUCCAAUCGCCCUAACUUAAAUCGCUCCAAAUCCUAUAUAAAACAAACUUUGUAUUUAAACCUCAAGAUAUAUAUAUAUAUAUAUAUAUAUAUAUAUAUAUAUAUAUAUAUAUAUAUAUAUAUAUAUAUAGAGAGAGAGAGAGAGAGAGAGAGAGAGAGAGANNNNNNNNNNNNNNNNNNNNNNNNNNNNNNNNNNNNNNNNNNNNNNNNNNNNNNNNNNNNNNNNNNNNNNNNNNNNNNNNNNNNNNNNNNNNNNNNNNNNAUAACACAAACUUUGUAUUUAAACCACAAUAUAUAUAGAUAAACAGAUAACAACAACCUAACAUCUAAGACUGAAGAGAAAAAAAGAAACAAUGCAAGCAAGUUGAGUGAAGGAUUACCUCGUCGCCAGAGUUUCAAACAGGAUGUUCAGAAACAGCGCACCACUCUUUGCGGGAAAAUUGUAAAGAAGGCAUCAGAAGAGAAACGCAACGUGAGGACGCGACGUUGGCUGCGUCCUCCAUUAAAUAAGAAUUUCAGACUGUACGCCAAUUUGAUCUCUCGAACAAAA
Molecule: long non-coding RNA, 4086 nt
Filed under: Panax ginseng (ginseng)
Lineage: Eukaryota; Viridiplantae; Streptophyta; Magnoliopsida; Apiales; Araliaceae
Description: long non-coding RNA (PGIN_LNC001559)
Source: RNAcentral